Molecule: ribosomal RNA, 450 nt
Filed under: uncultured bacterium
Lineage: Bacteria
Description: partial 16S ribosomal RNA
Rfam family: Bacterial small subunit ribosomal RNA
Source: RNAcentral
GUGGGGAAUUUUGGACAAUGGGCGAAAGCCUGAUCCAGCCAUUCCGCGUGCAGGAUGAAGGCCCUCGGGUUGUAAACUGCUUUUGUACAGAACGAAAAAGCUCCGGCUAAUACCUGGAGUCCAUGACGGUACUGUAAGAAUAAGCACCGGCUAACUACGUGCCAGCAGCCGCGGUAAUACGUAGGGUGCAAGCGUUAAUCGGAAUUACUGGGCGUAAAGCGUGCGCAGGCGGUUUUGUAAGACAGAGGUGAAAUCCCCGGGCUCAACCUGGGAACUGCCUUUGUGACUGCAAGGCUGGAGUGCGGCAGAGGGGGAUGGAAUUCCGCGUGUAGCAGUGAAAUGCGUAGAUAUGCGGAGGAACACCGAUGGCGAAGGCAAUCCCCUGGGCCUGCACUGACGCUCAUGCACGAAAGCGUGGGGAGCAAACAGGAUUAGAAACCCGGGUAGUCC